This 460-nucleotide ribosomal RNA is filed under the name uncultured bacterium. RNAcentral's name for it is "partial 16S ribosomal RNA". It matches the Rfam family "Bacterial small subunit ribosomal RNA", at positions 338 to 795 of the family's 1533-position model. The record is from RNAcentral.
CCUACGGGGGGCUGCAGUGAGGAAUAUUGGUCAAUGGACGAGAGUCUGAACCAGCCAAGUCGCGUGAAGGAUGAAGGCCCUAUGGGUUGUAAACUUCUUUUAUAUGGGAAUAAAAUGUUCCACGUGUGGGAUUUUGUAUGUACCAUAUGAAUAAGGAUCGGCUAACUCCGUGCCAGCAGCCGCGGUAAUACGGAGGAUCCGAGCGUUAUCCGGAUUUAUUGGGUUUAAAGGGAGCGUAGGUGGUUUGUUAAGUCAGUGGUGAAAGUUUGCGGCUCAACCGUAAAAUUGCCGUUGAAACUGGCAGACUUGAGUACGGUAGAGGGAGGCGGAAUGCGUGGUGUAGCGGUGAAAUGCAUAGAUAUCACGAAGAACUCCGAUUGCGAAGGCAGCUCACUGGACUGUAACUGACACUGAUGCACGAAAGCGUGGGUAUCAAACAGGAUUAGAUACCCUUGUAGUC